CGAUUUCCGAAUGGGGAAACCCAGUGUGUUUCGACACACUAUCAUUAACUGAAUCCAUAGGUUAAUGAGGCGAACCGGGGGAACUGAAACAUCUAAGUACCCCGAGGAAAAGAAAUCAACCGAGAUUCCCCCAGUAGCGGCGAGCGAACGGGGAGCAGCCCAGAGCCUGAAUCAGUGUGUGUGUUAGUGGAAGCGUCUGGAAAG
Molecule: ribosomal RNA, 204 nt
Filed under: Escherichia coli
Lineage: Bacteria; Pseudomonadati; Pseudomonadota; Gammaproteobacteria; Enterobacterales; Enterobacteriaceae
Description: partial 23S ribosomal RNA
Rfam family: Bacterial large subunit ribosomal RNA
Source: RNAcentral